This 254-nucleotide ribosomal RNA is filed under the name uncultured bacterium. Its description in RNAcentral is "partial 16S ribosomal RNA". It matches the Rfam family "Bacterial small subunit ribosomal RNA", at positions 524 to 776 of the family's 1533-position model. The record is from RNAcentral.
UACAGAGGUCCCGAGCGUUGUUCGGAUUCAUUGGGCGUAAAGGGUGCGUAGGUGGCAGGGUAAGUUUGAUGUGAAAUCUCCGGGCUUAACCCGGAAACUGCAUUGAAUACUAUCUUGCUCGAGGUUUGGAGGGGGGGACUGGAAUUCUCGGUGUAGCAGUGAAAUGCGUAGAUAUCGAGAGGAACACCAGUGGCGAAGGCGAGUCCCUGGACAACACCUGACACUGAGGCACGAAAGCUAGGGGAGCAAACAGG